RNAcentral lists this ribosomal RNA (191 nucleotides) under uncultured Methanosaeta sp. RNAcentral describes it as "partial 16S ribosomal RNA". It matches the Rfam family "Archaeal small subunit ribosomal RNA", at positions 1150 to 1332 of the family's 1478-position model. The record is from RNAcentral. Lineage: Archaea; Methanobacteriati; Methanobacteriota; Methanomicrobia; Methanotrichales; Methanotrichaceae.
UAUGCCCCGAAUAUCCCGGGCUACACGCGAGCUACAAUGGUUGGUACAAUGGGUAUCUACCCCGAAAGGGGACGGGAAUCUCCUAAAACCAAUCUUAGUUCGGAUUGAGGGCUGCAACUCGCCCUCAUGAAGCUGGAAUCCGUAGUAAUCGCGUUUCAACAGAACGCGGUGAAUACGUCCCUGGCUUCCUU